RNAcentral lists this ribosomal RNA (751 nucleotides) under uncultured Halomonas sp. Its description in RNAcentral is "bacterial SSU rRNA". It matches the Rfam family "Bacterial small subunit ribosomal RNA", at positions 28 to 776 of the family's 1533-position model. The record is from RNAcentral. Lineage: Bacteria; Pseudomonadati; Pseudomonadota; Gammaproteobacteria; Oceanospirillales; Halomonadaceae.
AUUGAACGCUGGCGGCAGGCCUAACACAUGCAAGUCGAGCGGUAACAGGGGUAGCUUGCUACCCGCUGACGAGCGGCGGACGGGUGAGUAAUGCAUAGGAAUCUGCCCGAUAGUGGGGGAUAACCUGGGGAAACCCAGGCUAAUACCGCAUACGUCCUACGGGAGAAAGGGGGCUCCGGCUCCCGCUAUCGGAUGAGCCUAUGUCGGAUUAGCUGGUUGGUGAGGUAACGGCUCACCAAGGCGACGAUCCGUAGCUGGUCUGAGAGGAUGAUCAGCCACAUCGGGACUGAGACACGGCCCGAACUCCUACGGGAGGCAGCAGUGGGGAAUAUUGGACAAUGGGGGGAACCCUGAUCCAGCCAUGCCGCGUGUGUGAAGAAGGCCCUCGGGUUGUAAAGCACUUUCAGUGAGGAAGAACGCCUGGUGGUUAAUACCCAUCAGGAAAGGCAUCACUCACAGAAGAAGCACCGGCUAACUCCGUGCCAGCAGCCGCGGUAAUACGGAGGGUGCGAGCGUUAAUCGGAAUUACUGGGCGUAAAGCGCGCGUAGGUGGCUUGAUAAGCCGGUUGUGAAAGCCCCGGGCUCAACCUGGGAACGGCAUCCGGAACUGUCAAGCUAGAGUGCAGGAGAGGAAGGUAGAAUUCCCGGUGUAGCGGUGAAAUGCGUAGAGAUCGGGAGGAAUACCAGUGGCGAAGGCGGCCUUCUGGACUGACACUGACACUGAGGUGCGAAAGCGUGGGUAGCAAACAGG